Molecule: ribosomal RNA, 492 nt
Filed under: uncultured bacterium
Lineage: Bacteria
Description: partial 16S ribosomal RNA
Rfam family: Bacterial small subunit ribosomal RNA
Source: RNAcentral
AGUGAACGCUGGCGGUAGGCCUAACACAUGCAAGUCGAACGGCAGCACAGUAAGAGCUUGCUCUUACGGGUGGCGAGUGGCGGACGGGUGAGGAAUACAUCGGAAUCUACUUUUUCGUGGGGGAUAACGUAGGGAAACUUACGCUAAUACCGCAUACGACCUACGGGUGAAAGCAGGGGAUCUUCGGACCUUGCGCGAUCGAAUGAGCCGAUGUCGGAUUAGCUAGUUGGCGGGGUAAAGGCCCACCAAGGCGACGAUCCGUAGCUGGUCUGAGAGGAUGAUCAGCCACACUGGAACUGAGACACGGUCCAGACUCAUACGGGAGGCAGCAGUGGGGAAUAUUGGACAAUGGGCGCAAGCCUGAUCCAGCCAUACCGCGUGGGUGAAGAAGGCCUUCGGGUUGUAAAGCCCUUUUGUUGGGAAAGAAAAGCAGCAGGUUAAUACCCCGCUGUUCUGACGGUACCCAAAGAAUAAGCACCGGCUAACUUCGUG